GGCCCAAUGGUCUAGUAGCAUGAUUUUCCCUUCGGGCUUUUCCGCCAGUCACGUUACGUGAUGUCACGUGGGAGAGGUCCCGGGUUCAAUUCCCGGUUGGGCCC
Molecule: non-coding RNA, 104 nt
Organism: Coprinopsis sp. MPI-PUGE-AT-0042
Lineage: Eukaryota; Fungi; Basidiomycota; Agaricomycetes; Agaricales; Psathyrellaceae
Source: the annotation of a GenBank genome assembly